CACAUCUUAUCUAUUCUUUCCUUGUACAAUGACUUCUGCACAGGUCACACAGCAUGCUCAGAAAACUCUCCCAUCGAAGUCAAUGAGGCCCCCUCCUGACCAUUGUGUCUAUGGACCAUGGGGCUGCCGUAAAGCAAUUUUCUUAAAGGGGUUAGCGGCAGCGCAGGAAAGAUGG
Long non-coding RNA from Bufo bufo (common toad), 175 nucleotides. RefSeq lists it as uncharacterized. The transcript has 3 exons. Lineage: Eukaryota; Metazoa; Chordata; Amphibia; Anura; Bufonidae. The record is from RefSeq and is a predicted model, not a curated record.